GCCCAGCUGGCUGGGUUGGUAGAGCAUGUGACUCUUGAUCUUGGGGUUGUGAGUUCAAACCCCAUGUUGGGCU
This 73-nucleotide transfer RNA is filed under the name Felis catus (domestic cat). It matches the Rfam family "tRNA". From Rfam's summary of the family: Transfer RNA (tRNA) molecules are approximately 80 nucleotides in length. Their secondary structure includes four short double-helical elements and three loops (D, anti-codon, and T loops). Further hydrogen bonds mediate the characteristic L-shaped molecular structure. tRNAs have two regions of fundamental functional importance: the anti-codon, which is responsible for specific mRNA codon recognition, and the 3' end, to which the tRNAs corresponding amino acid is attached (by aminoacyl-tRNA synthetases). tRNAs cope with the degeneracy of the genetic code in two manners: having more than one tRNA (with a specific anti-codon) for a particular amino acid; and 'wobble' base-pairing, i.e. permitting non-standard base-pairing at the 3rd anti-codon position. Lineage: Eukaryota; Metazoa; Chordata; Mammalia; Carnivora; Felidae. RNAcentral also lists the same sequence under 3 other names. The record is from Rfam by way of RNAcentral.